Molecule: ribosomal RNA, 404 nt
Filed under: uncultured bacterium
Lineage: Bacteria
Description: partial 16S ribosomal RNA
Rfam family: Bacterial small subunit ribosomal RNA
Source: RNAcentral
GACGAACGCUGGCGGCGUGCCUAAUACAUGCAAGUCGCACGCAGUGGGGACGGGUGAGUAACACGUUGGUAACCUCCCCAUCAGCGGGGAUAACACUUGGAAACAGGUGCUAAACCGAUAUUGCUGGAUGGACCCUCGGUGCAUUAGCUAGUUGGUGCGGUAACGGCUCACCAAGGCCACGAUGCAUAGCCGACCUGAGAGGGUGAUCGGCAACACGGGGACUGAGACACGGCCCAGAAUCCUACGGGAGGCAGCAGUAGGGAAUCUUCGGCAAUGGACGAAAGUCUGACCGAGCAACGCCGCGUGAGGGAAGAAGGUUUUCGGAUCGUAAAACUCUGUUGUUAGAGAAGAGGUAUCUAACCAGAAAGCCACGGCUAACUACGUGCAAGCAGCUACGGUAAUUC